Molecule: long non-coding RNA, 797 nt
Organism: Cololabis saira (Pacific saury)
Lineage: Eukaryota; Metazoa; Chordata; Actinopteri; Beloniformes; Belonidae
Exons: 3
Source: RefSeq, a predicted model, not a curated record
AUGUCAUAAUCAAAAAGAAAACAAAGAAGACAUUGCUUUUUCUUUUUCAUGCUCUGCCCGCAAAAAAGUGUACAAUAUUCAAAAUGAAUUCGCAAUCCCAGCGGCGCAGGAGAGUGACGUCACGGCUUCUCCUGUUCUCCAGCUGCAGCCCAGAAACCCUGGAAAAUGCUCACGUUUUUUAAGGUGACAUCGUAUUUUGCCGAUUUCCCAAAGUCUGUUAGAAAAGGUCUGAUUUCCUACAACUCUAACAGAGUUCUAGAUGUCAACAUGAGACACAGACAGCAGCGUUUCUCUACACGGAGCGCUGGUGCCGGGCUGACUCCUCCUAUUCAGACACGUGUGUUUGUUUACAACCUAUGGAGCACGAAAUGCAAAGAGGAGCAACGUCGACCGACAAGCUUUGUACAUAGACGAGUUGCAUCAAGUCCAGGCAAGGGACACGCAGAAAUUCUACCCCUGUCGUUGUCCAGCGUGACAGUCUGACCGUCAACGCAUGCAUUUCCUGAAAAUGACUGCUGAGGAGCAGCAUGAGUCUCCAGAUGAGGAGGAGAUCAAUUAUUUGAGAAAAACAAUGUAAGUGAAUGUUUGUGAGUCUUUUUGUCUUGUUUUGUUUUACUCGUGUGUAAUUGGCAAAGUAUUCAAGGCACUUGCAAUGUCAAUGUCAAUGUCAAUGUCAAUUUUAUUUAUAAAGCACAUUUAAAAACGACCGAGGUCGACCAAAGUGCUGUACAGCAUACAAGAAAAUAAAACAAUACCAAAAGAAAAACACAGUACACAGUGUAGAAACAAUAAAAUCA